UACCUUGACAAAUUUGCAUGCAGUGAGGAGCAUUCUGGUGUUACUGAGGACACUGGGAGUUUCCAGCUUAGAAGGAAGAAGUCAGACAAAGCUCAUGGGUUUGUGGAUAUAUCCAUCCGAAUCUGCAAGGAGAAAGAUGAUAAUGGUCAGUUUUCAGGUAAACAGAAAUUUCUGUUCUGCAAGAACGGAAGUAUCUGAUUUGGCAUCUUCCAUCUGACAUGUUGACCAAAACAUUUUUUGCUGUCGGAGUGUAGGUAGAACAGAUAAUUUUGCAAAAUCAUUUGCACAUAACACUAUAAUAGUUGUCAGAAUUAAAAUAAUAAUAGUAAUAAUAGGAAAUCCAAUAAUAUUUGGGUAAUCAGAUAUGUUGCAAGAAGUCUUAUGAUAUCCAUUUUCCAGGCAAUAUCCUAACAACAUAGGCUGAUAGCAAUAACAAAAGUACAUGGUGCAUCUUAAAUGGGUACAUGCGUCCUAAAUUUGUACAGAAAAUGACCACCACAUUUUUCGUACAAAAAAGCAUGACUGCUUGAUCCAUCGUCAGGCUAAAAACAUACAGAAAUGACUAACACUUUAAUUGCUUCUUAAAACAUAACGGUGUUAGCAGAAGAACAAAUAAAUCUUAAGUUAGUACGUGGCAAAAAAGAAAAUCAGUUAGUAGGAAUGGUAGUAUACUCAUAGUAUCUAUGAUCGAGCUCUUGCAAUCAAAAGGUUAUGUUUCACAAAUAGAUCAAGUGAAAUACGAUGAGUUUCAAAAUUACAACACCAUAUUUAUUUUGAUAUGGUUCACAUACAGUUAUAUUUAACCUAUAAAUAUAACUGUUGAUUUGCAGGAUCAGGUGAAGGAUUGAAGUACCCAGAUCAGGUCGGCAUCACAUUAGCAAUAGAGGAUGGUCCAGUUUACAGUUAUCCACCAUUGCCUUCCAACCAUUACAGGGGCCGUACCAAAGAUGUCGAUCACUAUAGUAAUGCCAUGCCAGUGACUCCUAGAACUCGC
Molecule: long non-coding RNA, 994 nt
Filed under: Brachypodium distachyon (stiff brome)
Lineage: Eukaryota; Viridiplantae; Streptophyta; Magnoliopsida; Poales; Poaceae
Description: long non-coding RNA (BDIS_LNC002669)
Source: RNAcentral